Photinus pyralis (common eastern firefly) is the source of this 903-nucleotide long non-coding RNA. RefSeq lists it as uncharacterized. Lineage: Eukaryota; Metazoa; Arthropoda; Insecta; Coleoptera; Lampyridae. The transcript is spliced from 2 exons. The record is from RefSeq and is a predicted model, not a curated record.
CAGUUUUAUUAUUAUAUCAACAUUUUGUUCGUAUUUCCAUUUCAAUCACCCUGUUUAUAACUUUUCUAUUCUGUGGUAGUCACCUUUUGUAACCUUCACAUUCGUUUAUUUCCGUACCUGCCCGUUUUAAUGUUGUAUAUUCCUAUUAUUGGUCUAAAAGCCAAUUUCCGCUUUAGAUAACCUAUGUAAUUUGAUACCGUAACCAUAUAUGGUAUUGUAAGCUUCGAUUGACCGCGUUAUUGGUCGGAGCAAAACUUCGUUGUUUCAUUGGGGCCGGAAAUGGAAACAUUCAGCGUGUUUUACUUGCUAACCCGAAGAGAACGGUCGUGCGGUUCAUCCUGAUUUAAGUGCUAAUUUAGUUCCUGUUCAUUUGUUUUCAACAAUUUGGCGAAAGCAUCUUUAAAAACAAGUGAACCAUCAUUGUACCUGCCAUUUCUUUUUGGGCAUGGUAACCAUUUAAUCCGAAAGGAGUUCUUCUAAAGGAACGUAAGCAUAAUUGUAAGUUCUCUGUGUGUUCGAAUCCACACUACCGUUAUUUCUAUUUUAGGGGACCAUUCUGACAACGAUCGUAGGAUAACUUCCAUUCACUUUCGUACGUUCACGAAGCUCUUUUAUUUUCCGUUGACUCUCUCCAUGUAGAGAGUUCACGUAUUGGGGUCAAGAACUACGAUCCGACUGUUUACCUGUGAAACGAAACUAUAGACCACAUUGUGUUGCGGAUAAGGGGGCAUAGGAAAGUAAAUCGACUAAGUACUGGAGUGCAGUGUGUACGAUCUAGCAUCAAACCAUUGAAAUAACUUAAUGGCCGAGUCGUACAUAUCUUGAAGCCGCUACCUUACUUCCGACACUUUGUGUAACACUUAGAGCAGCAUUUGUCAUUCAACGUGCAACCAUAUACCAGGA